Long non-coding RNA from Lathyrus oleraceus (garden pea), 825 nucleotides. RefSeq lists it as uncharacterized. The transcript is spliced from 2 exons. The record is from RefSeq and is a predicted model, not a curated record. Lineage: Eukaryota; Viridiplantae; Streptophyta; Magnoliopsida; Fabales; Fabaceae.
GAAUCACGCGAAGAUCAGAAGAACAAAGCUAAAAUGGAAAAGUGAUCGAAACAAAGAAAAACGCUUAUCUACAUAGCGGUAACGUCGUCGCCUCUCUACGUCUCAAUGCGACUUCAUCAAUUCCUACGUCACAUUUUUCACCGUGGUUCACGUUUCAGAAUGAUUCUGGAAUUGCGUUAGCAUCGUUGUAUCUCACGUGCAUUUGCAGAGUGAAUCGCGUCCAGAAAUCCAUCUUCUUCGCUCAUGGAUCUGCGCCUCUAUGAGUUCAUCGGCAUUAUGUGAAUCAAAUCAAUCGAUUCAAACAACAAUACUCAACAUGGAUUGACUCAAACUUACCGGUUUCGACGCGGCGGCAAAAAUAGGUGGAUGAAUGAAAAUGCAUAGUUCCCUGUGUUUUCGCCAAGAUCCUGUAUAGAUAAAUUUCCUAAUGUCCCUGUAUUAGUUAUGGAAGCCAACAUCUCAGAGGUUUGAUGAAUCAUGUUCGCACUACCAAACUUUGAUCCAUCACCCGUCACAAGAACAAGACUCAUGUACAACAACUGUGGACAUCAAUGCUUCGUCAUUAUAACUAGUUAUAGCUUCAUUAGAAACAAGACUCUAGGGCUAUGAAGUAUCGAGUUUAUGAUGGUAAUGUUUGAAAUUGACUUUUAUGGUGAUUUGUACAUGGAAUGUGUUUGUAUCGUGCAUGGUUUGAAAGUGUAUUAGUUCAUAGUUUACGAAAGAAAAUGGUUUAUGGUUUAUGAAGUGAAAAUAGUUAAUGGUUUAUGAAAUGAAUUAUCGGAUUGUCAUAAAACAUGAAAUAUAUUGAAUGUUCGUAUUGUAAUA